GACGAACGCUGGCGGCGUGCCUAAUACAUGCAAGUCGAACGCACAGUUUAUACCUUAGCUUGCUACACCAUAGACUGUGAGUUGCGAACGACUGGGUAACGCGUAGCUAACCUGCCUGGUAGCCGUGGAUAACUAUUGGAAACGCUAGCUAAUGCCGUAUAAUAUUGAUUAUUGCAUGAUAAUUGAUGGUACGAUGCUAUUGCAUCACUUACAGAUUGACCUGCGUUGUAUUAGCUAGUAUGUGGGGUAACGGCUCACCUAGGCGAAGAUACAUAGCCGAACUGAGAGGGUGGUUGGCCACACUGGGACUGAGACACGGCACAGACUCCCACGGGAGGCAGCAGUAGGGAAACUUCGGGAAUGGGCGAAAGUCUGACCGAGCAACGCCGCAGGAGUGAAGAAGGUUUUCGGAUCGGAAAGCUCUGUUGUAAGGGAAGAACCGGUGUGAGAGUGGAAAGUUCACAUUGUGACGGUACCUGACCAGAAAGCGACGGCUAACUACGUG
RNAcentral lists this ribosomal RNA (505 nucleotides) under uncultured bacterium. RNAcentral's name for it is "partial 16S ribosomal RNA". It matches the Rfam family "Bacterial small subunit ribosomal RNA", at positions 28 to 507 of the family's 1533-position model. The record is from RNAcentral.